Molecule: ribosomal RNA, 1150 nt
Filed under: Vibrio cholerae
Lineage: Bacteria; Pseudomonadati; Pseudomonadota; Gammaproteobacteria; Vibrionales; Vibrionaceae
Description: partial 23S ribosomal RNA
Rfam family: Bacterial large subunit ribosomal RNA
Source: RNAcentral
GGUUAAGUGACUAAGCGUACACGGUGGAUGCCUGGGCAGUCAGAGGCGAUGAAGGACGUACUAACUUGCGAUAAGCGCAGAUAAGGCAGUAAGAGCCGUUUGAGUCUGCGAUUUCCGAAUGGGGAAACCCAACUGCAUAAGCAGUUACUGUUAACUGAAUACAUAGGUUAACAGAGCAAACCGGGGGAACUGAAACAUCUAAGUACCCCGAGGAGAAGAAAUCAACCGAGAUUCCGGUAGUAGCGGCGAGCGAACCUGGAUUAGCCCUUAAGCACUCGGUGAAGUAGGUGAACAAGCUGGAAAGCUUGGCGAUACAGGGUGAUAGCCCCGUAACCGACGCUUCAUCGAGCGUGAAAUCGAGUAGGGCGGGACACGUGAUAUCCUGUCUGAAUAUGGGGGGACCAUCCUCCAAGGCUAAAUACUCCUGACUGACCGAUAGUGAACCAGUACCGUGAGGGAAAGGCGAAAAGAACCCCUGUGAGGGGAGUGAAAUAGAACCUGAAACCGUGUACGUACAAGCAGUAGGAGCACCUUCGUGGUGUGACUGCGUACCUUUUGUAUAAUGGGUCAGCGACUUAUAUUCAGUGGCAAGGUUAACCGUAUAGGGGAGCCGUAGCGAAAGCGAGUCUUAACUGGGCGCUCAGUCUCUGGAUAUAGACCCGAAACCGGGUGAUCUAGCCAUGGGCAGGUUGAAGGUUGAGUAACAUCAACUGGAGGACCGAACCGACUAAUGUUGAAAAAUUAGCGGAUGACUUGUGGCUAGGGGUGAAAGGCCAAUCAAACUCGGAGAUAGCUGGUUCUCCCCGAAAGCUAUUUAGGUAGCGCCUCGGACGAAUACUACUGGGGGUAGAGCACUGUUAAGGCUAGGGGGUCAUCCCGACUUACCAACCCUUUGCAAACUCCGAAUACCAGUAAGUACUAUCCGGGAGACACACGGCGGGUGCUAACGUCCGUCGUGGAGAGGGAAACAACCCAGACCGCCAGCUAAGGUCCCAAAGUAUUGCUAAGUGGGAAACGAUGUGGGAAGGCUCAGACAGCUAGGAUGUUGGCUUAGAAGCAGCCAUCAUUUAAAGAAAGCGUAAUAGCUCACUAGUCGAGUCGGCCUGCGCGGAAGAUGUAACGGGGCUAAGCAAUACACCGAAGCUGCGGC